UCCAGCAGGUGGCGCCAGAACAGCAGGAAUAACGGUGUUGCCUUAGUUACGGCAGUAAAUGACAGAAGUCGAGCAGGAUUUUAUCGAUUUCAUAAACUACACAGCGCCCCAAUAUUCGCAGCUUAAAUUCAGGAACCAGCGGUAGGAGGUCUUGUCUUUCCAGCCAACAUUUCUGGAAUCUUUCCACAACAGUUUCACCUGGUUGGUGGAGUCACCUGUGUGCCAGAGCCAGGUUCUGCUGAUUAGUCUCUGUUUGUGUUGCCCAAGCUGGUUCAUUAUGUAUUAAGUGACUAAAACCAGAUGGACACCAGCAUUCCAUAUUAGCGGGUUUGGAACCAAUCGGCAGUUGUCUGGACCGGGUGGAAGAAGAUCGGGAAUGCCAUCAUUGUCAUCAUCGUCAUCACAUUCAUCUCCGAUGCCAUCCUUGUCCGUGU
Danio rerio (zebrafish) is the source of this 434-nucleotide non-coding RNA. Lineage: Eukaryota; Metazoa; Chordata; Actinopteri; Cypriniformes; Danionidae. The record is from RefSeq and is a predicted model, not a curated record.